AUGAAUAAAUGCAAGGAAGUAAAUGAAGAGGAAGCGGGGGUCAGAAGGGGCAUGUUUUACGUGAAGAGAUACCAUGCAAAGGCCCUCCUGGGUACCAUCACCAGUGCGGGGCAGCCCGUGAGCCCCUGGAGGGAGGUCUCCCUGACAUCCUGCCCACUCCUCCUGGGGCCAAGCAGGAGUCAUAUCCAAGGGCUGGGUCAUUAUCUGAUACAUGAGUGGGUUGUGCGGAUGAGUAAACAGGGACUGACCCAGAGGUCAGGUGUAACUCAGCCUCAGAAACUGCAUGUGUCAAUAGGAAUCGGAGGGCCAAGGAAUGUGUUUUUCGUUGAUGUCAACUUGCUGCAAAGGACCACACCUGCUUCUCGACCCGGGAACGUGGGAAAGGGAAAGGCACGGCUUGUUUUGGUGGAGAUGGAGGAGCUGGUAACAGUGGAGGAAUGCCCUUCUUCUGAUUCACAGCGGGGAGGUGCUCUGGGCCCCUGCCACUGCCCGAGGACUUCGGGUGAGGUUACCAGGACCGUCAGCCUGAGGAGAAUCAGCUCUUCCGCACCAAAUCCUGAAGAUCACAUGGCAGAGUGAGCCAGAGCGAGGUACCGGCAGACCUCUUAGGUGGGGCAUGCAUCCCCUAGUGUCCCAUGUCCCCACUGUUCCCUGUGGCUAUAUCCAUUUCACUUGACUUACUUUUACUCCUUGUCUAGCUGCUUGUGGCAUUGUUCUUUUUCUCUUUUCUUUUUUUUUUUUGAGACAGUCUCCCACUGUCACCCAGGUUGGAGUACAGUGGAGUAAUCUCGGCUCACUGCAACCUCCACCUCCUGGGUUCAAGAGAUUCUCCUGCCUCAGUCUCCUGAGUAGCUGGGAUUAUAGUUGCCCGCCGCUACGCCCGGAUAAUUUUUGUAUUUUUAGUAGAGACAGGGUUUCACCAUGUUGGCCAGGCUGGUCUUGAACUCCUGACCUCAGGUGAUCCACCCACCUCAGUCUCCCAAAGUGUUGGGAUUACAGGCGUGAGCCACCACGCCUGGCUGGCAUUGAGUUUUCAACUCUUCAUCUAUACCAUAUGUCAGAUCAUUUCCUUCUUCUUGCAAUGACAGCAAAAAUACCGAGGCUUUAAUUACUUACCCUCCUGUAUUUCUGUUUUAUUCCCUCUCCCUAUCGCCAUUUCCAUGCACUCAUGCCCACGCACAGGUUGUAGGAACCAACUAGUAUGUUGCUGGGAGGUCCAGACACUCAAAUGUGAACUUGCUUCUCUCCCUGGAGGGCUUCCAGAUUUAGCAAAUAAACAGGCAAGAUGCUCAGCUAAAUUUGAAUUGAAUUUCAUAUAAAUAGUGAAUACUUUUUCUUUUCUUUUUUUUUUUUUUGAGACAGGGUCUUGCUCCAUUGUCCAGCUAGAGUGCAGUGGCAAGAUGAUGGCUCACUACAGCCUCCAUCUCUUGGGCUUAAGAGCCCUCCCCCAUGGCUCAGCCUGCCCUGAGGCCAGUCCUCGUACAUGGUGCAUGGCUGCCUUCAAGACAUCUCCAAGGAGCCCUCGCUGAGAAGCCCCCUGGUGCACACAUAAAAUCACGUUGCUAUUUAGUUGAAUUUCUUCAUUGUACAGGUUAAGAAAUGGAAGAUGUGACUCUCAAGGAUUAUACACAACUAAAACUGUGUGAAACGGCGAUCAGUACCCGGGCAACAGGGAAGUGGGAAUUUCUCACCAACCCACGUGCCAGGAUCCAGCCUCAACGCUUGUGAGGAUCCAGCCUCAAUGCUCUGCACAUCUCCAGUGUGGAACAGCACCAUGCGCCUAAUGAGUUCUUCUCUGACUGAUUGAUUGAUUGAUUACUAAAACACUCAGCACUCCUGGCAAAGCAGUUCUCACACUGUUGAACAAAUUAUCUUUAUGCACUGCAGUCUCUUGAGCUUAGAUGAAGGCAAACUCACUGUAAUCUUCAGAUCAUUUAGCAAUGCCUUGGAAUCACUGGAUAUGAGAAAAUAUCCAAGCAUGUGGAAUACGAAGGGGGAAGAAAAGCAGGACUUGGAGGGACUGUGCUAGUGGAUUUCAACUCUAUAUUUUCUAAAAUGAACCAGGGGCAGGCAAACUACUACCUUGUAGGCCAAAUCUGGCCAGUGACCUGUUUUAUCAUUGAUUGAUUGAUUGACGGGGGUCUUGUCUUGCUCUGUCACCCAGGCUGGAGUGCAUUGGUUCGAUCAUUGUUCACUGCAGCCUCGAACUCUUGGACUCAAACCAUCCUCCCACCUCAGCCUCCCAAGUAGCUAGGACUACAGGCACACCCCACCACACCUGGCUAAUUUUUUUUUUUUUUUUUUUUUUUUUUGUAGAAAUGGCAUCUUGCUGUGUUACCCAGACUGGUCUUUAACUCCUGGCCCCAAGCGAUCCCUGACUUUAUGGCACUUGCUUAGCCUGGUGUGACAGUGUCUGUCUCCUGGAGGCCAGGAGCCCCUGGCAUGCAGCCAGCGUGCCCCAUUUAUAAUUGUAGCCCAGCACAUGGAAGGGACCCAAGGGAAUGACAGCAACGUUGACUUUGCCAUUUCAACCCUCAACCUCAUUUUAUUGUUCUAUUCGUAUUAUCUGGGGGACAAAAUUUUCCCACAUUCUUUUCUGUUGGUGCCACCAUCUCUGUGCCUCCGUGUGCUGCUGACCCGCCAAGCCCAUGGCCAGCUCAGCACUCGGAUUUUAUGUGGUCUCUCAGUAUGGGUUCCUUUAUCGGCAUCUCAAAAAGCUUUUGUGUUUUAUCCAUAAUUGAUUAAAGGUUUGUAGCUGUGAAUAAAAGAUUGAUUAAAAGUAACAACAGCAAAACAGCUCUUGUUUUUCUUCACCGUCUGCCUUUCCCCAGAAGAGUCUCCUACAUCCGAGCAGACGGUCCUCGAUGUGGAUCCACACAACCUUACGAGUUUUCCUUAGACCCAAGAAAGGGAGGCGUGGGGAAUGAUGGUUACUUGCUGAUACUUACUGA
This 2951-nucleotide long non-coding RNA is filed under the name Macaca nemestrina (pig-tailed macaque). RNAcentral describes it as "lncRNA (ENSMNEG00000045863.1)". The record is from RNAcentral. Lineage: Eukaryota; Metazoa; Chordata; Mammalia; Primates; Cercopithecidae.